AACGAACGCUGGCGGCAGGCCUAACACAUGCAAGUCGAGCGCACUCUUCGGAGUGAGCGGCGGACGGGUUAGUAACGCGUGGGAAUAUACCCUUCACUACGGAAUAGCCUCGGGAAACUGAGAGUAAUACCGUAUACGCCCUUCGGGGGAAAGAUUUAUCGGUGAAGGAUUAGCCCGCGUCUGAUUAGAUAGUUGGUGGGGUAACGGCCUACCAAGUCUACGAUCAGUAGCUGGUUUGAGAGGAUGAUCAGCAACACUGGGACUGAGACACGGCCCAG
This 278-nucleotide ribosomal RNA is filed under the name uncultured Loktanella sp. RNAcentral describes it as "partial 16S ribosomal RNA". It matches the Rfam family "Bacterial small subunit ribosomal RNA", at positions 29 to 334 of the family's 1533-position model. Lineage: Bacteria; Pseudomonadati; Pseudomonadota; Alphaproteobacteria; Rhodobacterales; Roseobacteraceae. The record is from RNAcentral.